GACGAACGCUGGCGGCGGGUUUAACACAUGCAAGUCGAGGGUCGAAACCUCCUUCGGGGGGCUGAAACCGGCGAACGGGUGAGUAACACGUGAGGAACCUACCUUCUGCUCUGGGAUAACCGCGGGAAACCGUGGCUAAUACCGGAUGUUCCACCGGAUCCGCAUGGUUCUGGUGGGAAAGCUCUGGCGGCAGGAGACGGCCUCGCGGCGUAUCAGCUUGUUGGUGGGGUGAUGGCCUACCAAGGCGACGACGCGUAGCUGGAGUGAGAGCUCGAACAGCCACACUGGGACUGAGACACGGCCCAGACUCCUACGGGAGGCAGCAGUGGAGAAUCUUGCGCAAUGGGCGAAAGCCUGACGCAGCCACGCCGCGUGCGGGAAGAAGGCCUUCGGGUCGUAAACCGCUUUCAGGAGGGAAGAAGCGAAAGUGACGGUACCUCCAGAAGAAGGACCGGCCAACUAUGUGCCAGCAGCCGCGGUAAUACAUAGGGUCCGAGCGUUGUCCGGAAUCAUUGGGCGUAAAGCGCAUGUAGGCGGCCCUUUAAGUCGGAUGUGAAAUCCCGAGGCUCAACUUCGGAACUGCAUCCGAUACUGGGGGGCUUGAGGAAGGUAGAGGAGAGUGGAAUUCCCGGUGUAGCGGUGGAAUGCGCAGAUAUCGGGAGGAACACCAGCGGCGAAGGCGGCUCUCUGGGCCUCUCCUGACGCUGAGAUGCGAAAGCGUGGGUAGCGAACAGG
RNAcentral lists this ribosomal RNA (735 nucleotides) under uncultured Nitriliruptor sp. RNAcentral's name for it is "bacterial SSU rRNA". It matches the Rfam family "Bacterial small subunit ribosomal RNA", at positions 28 to 776 of the family's 1533-position model. The record is from RNAcentral. Lineage: Bacteria; Bacillati; Actinomycetota; Nitriliruptoria; Nitriliruptorales; Nitriliruptoraceae.